AAAAAAAGAAGGCCUGUUUCAGAAACCAAGGCAGGCAGAGACAGGAAGACGAAGAGGAGUGAGCCAUAAAGCCUGGGGAGUGACUUUACCUCAACCACACUGGGUUUCUUCCAAGAAGAAUGUAGCAACGUCACAGAGGCAGAGGAAGGUGGAAGAUUCCGUCUCCUAGGGUGUUUACAUUCCCACCAUCCUCAGUCAUUAGGAGAGGCUGAUCAACUCUCAGGCUGACAGAGACCCUUGAGACCAGACAAACUUGCUCUGGCCACAUAGGGUGGUUCUCUGGCCUAAGAAGGAUGCUCUUUUAAAGAGAAAGCUGUCUAAGAAGCCAGCAUGUAAGACUACAGCACACUGGAGAGGAUGUAGCAAAUAGCUGGCAAUAGUAUAUAUAAGUUGUUCAGCUCAGUGUGUGGUCCAGGAGCCUUCCGAUAAAUGUCAGUCUGUUGACCAGAAUACUCCAGAUGUCUGCAGGAUGCUCUCCCUCUUUCCCAUGGACCUCCACUUCAGUGAGGUAUUUAAAACCAGCUGUCAUUGUCGAUGCUGUCAUCAUACUGCAUGUUCUCCUGGCCCACAGAAGAUUAGAGCACCUACGGAGUUCAGCUUCUCUUUCUCCCCAUCUUUUGCCUGGAUCACAUGGACAUUGAAGGCUUCUCCAACUUCUUCCAUGGAAGGUGUGACCUCUGAAGAAGACUGAUCUAUUCCCAACUGCCUAUUCUUCACAGUGCUGUGUUGAAUAACCGCUAUGCCGGGCACUGUGCUGUAAACUGAGCAUAUGGUCAAUAAAACCAUCAUGGGCUUUAAAACUCAAA
Long non-coding RNA from Rattus norvegicus (Norway rat), 806 nucleotides. RefSeq lists it as uncharacterized. Lineage: Eukaryota; Metazoa; Chordata; Mammalia; Rodentia; Muridae. The record is from RefSeq and is a predicted model, not a curated record.